Molecule: RNA transcript, 1544 nt
Organism: Capsicum annuum
Lineage: Eukaryota; Viridiplantae; Streptophyta; Magnoliopsida; Solanales; Solanaceae
Gene name: protein ENHANCED DISEASE RESISTANCE 2-like
Exons: 5
Source: RefSeq, a predicted model, not a curated record
AGGUUAUUUAUGUGGUUUACCCUAAUUUAAUUCCCAUUUCCCAACAACAAAACAACUUUAUUUCUUCUGUAUCAUUAUUAGAUAUUUAAAAUUCCAUUUGCAAUGCAUGAUUGUAAUUACAGGCACAAGACCAAGACCUGAUCAAAGUCGUUCACGAAACAACAUCCUGGUAAUAAAAUCCUUUGAUCAUUUUCUAUGGUGGUGUUAUACAUUAGCAUAUGGCCAAUCUUGAUGUAGAUAAUGAACCUGAAUGGAUAAAGAGGGUGAAAUCAGAAGGUGCCAUUCCCCUUCUGGAUCCAGAUAAUUGCUCAAAUGGGUGGGCUUCUCCACCGGGGAAUAGUUUCAUGGUAAGAGGUCCAGAAUACUUUUCAACAAAGGUUAAAAUUCCUGGUGGUGAAUUUCUUCUGAAACCUCUUGGUUUUGACUGGAUAAAAGCUCCUAAAAAGAUUUCUGAUAUUCUGAAUAAUCCAAAACACCGUAUCAGGAGGGCUCUUCAAGAUGAAACUUCUACUGGUUGCAAGCCCUUUGUCUGGGCUUUCAACUUGCAAGUUCCUAGUAAGGAAAACUUCAGUGCUGUUGCAUAUUUUGUGGGUCUUGAACCCGUCCCUGAAGGUUCUUUGAUGGAGCAGUUCUUAAAAGGAGAUGAUGCUUUUAGAACUAAUAGGCUAAAACUGAUCGCGAAUAUUGUUAAAGGACCUUGGAUUGUAAGAAAGGCAGUUGGGGAGCAUGCUAUAUGCGUAAUUGGACGUGCGCUGACUUGCAAGUACUGUAUAACAGACGACUACAUAGAAGUAGAUAUUGAUAUAGGAUCUUCAGUGAUAGCAAAUGCAAUUGUUCAUCUCGCAUAUAAUUAUAUAUCAACCCUUACAGUUGAUUUAGCUUUCCUAAUUGAGAGUCAAACUCAAUCAGAACUUCCAGAACAGAUUUUAGGAGCAGUAAGAUUUUCAGAGCUGCAGACCACUUCAGCAACGCUAGUUGAAAUUCCUUCUGAUGGGAACAUAGAAGAGUUGCUGCCUUCUUUCCCUUCAAGGCUAUGGAAGUCUUUCGGCGACAGUUUCUCUCACCUUGUACAUGCAGAUACUCAAGGUUGUAGCUCCAGCUCCAGUCCCUCAAAUGUAAAGGGGGAUGUUGAUAAUGGGCUUUCUGAAGAAGGUACCAAAAGAUGAGCCAAUGCACUGAAAAUUUCCACGAAUCAUGUCAUAGGAGUUCCUCUUACCAGUAUCGGACCGGAAUCUCCACACUGUAAAUCCAACGUAUUUACGCAAAGGUUCUAUGGCUUCAAGCAUGAGCGAGGAAUCCUAAUAGUGGUCUCUCAUAAUGUCGCUUGUGAUGGCCACAUUAGCCAUUAUUUGUAGCACAAAAAUAUGUAUACAUUUCUGGGGGGAAUUUACUGACAUGGAACUACAGUAGCAUUCUUCGCUUUUAGUUCAUUUCUCUAUGAAAAACACUUCUCCCAGUUGCUCAUUCACUAGUAUAUUUUAUGUUGAUUUAUAUCUACUUAUAUAUCAAUCGCUUGGUAACAAUAGGUUACUAAUUUGAAGGGA